RNAcentral lists this ribosomal RNA (253 nucleotides) under uncultured bacterium. RNAcentral's name for it is "partial 16S ribosomal RNA". It matches the Rfam family "Bacterial small subunit ribosomal RNA", at positions 524 to 776 of the family's 1533-position model. The record is from RNAcentral.
UACGGGGGGGGCAAGCGUUGUUCGGAAUUACUGGGCGUAAAGGGUCUGUAGGUGGCCAACUAAGUCAGACGUGAAAUCCCUCAGCUUAACUGGGGAACUGCGUCUGAGACUGGAUGGCUCGAGUGCAGGAGAGGAAUGCGGAAUUCCAGGUGUAGCGGUGAAAUGCGUAGAUAUCGUAAGGAAGACCAGUGGCGAAGGCGGGUCUCUGGACAGUUCCUGACGCUGAGGCACGAAGGCCAGGGGAGCAAACGGG